GGGCCGUUAGCUCAGUUGGUAGAGCACCGGACUUUUAAUCCGGGUGUCGUUGGUUCGAUCCCAACACGGCUCA
RNAcentral lists this transfer RNA (73 nucleotides) under Actinomycetota bacterium. RNAcentral describes it as "Actinobacteria bacterium tRNA-Lys". It matches the Rfam family "tRNA". Rfam says of the family: Transfer RNA (tRNA) molecules are approximately 80 nucleotides in length. The record is from RNAcentral. Lineage: Bacteria; Bacillati; Actinomycetota.